GUGGGUUCGAGCUGGCGCUGGAAUGGGAGCCAAGAGCGAGUGAGCGGGGAGGGGGCGCCGGCGACACCCAGGUGUCGCAUGGCAGGGUCCACGAGGUGACCUGCCUGGGCCAGCAGCGCGCAGCUUGCACGAGUAUGCGCUAGGGCACCCACUCCAGUUCCCCACGCACACCCGAGGGAGGCCUGCCCCGCCUGCUGAGCGCUGUUUUCUCCAGGUCCCAGGCCGAUGUCCCAGGUGAGCGGUCAGUGCCCUUCUCGCUGCGACGCGCCUCAUGGAGUCCCCAGCGCUGCCCUGGAUCCAGCCCAGACCAUGUCCCUCCUCCCUGGGCUGGAGGUAGUAGCAAGAUCCACUCACCCUGCAGAGGCAUCGUCAGAAGAGGGCUCCCAGGAGGAGGCAGUACCCUCCAUGCCCCAAGACGGUGGUCUUGGGGUUCACCAGGCUCUAAACAGCACUGACCUCGAUGUCCCCACAGAAGCUGUGACGCGUCAGCCUCAAGGGAACCCCCAAGGCUGCACCCCACUACUGCCAAAUGGCUCCGGCCACGACCACCUCUCAGAACCAGGCGGUGCCGGGCAUGCGGGGAACGGUGCUCUGGGCGGGACCAAGGCCCACCGGAAGUUGCAGACGCAUCCAUCUCUCGGCAGCCAGGCCGGAAGGAAGAGCAAAGGCAGCACCCGGUCAGCCUCACAGGUUCCCCUCCAGGCUCAGGAAGAUUGCUGUGUCCACUGCAUACUGUCCUGUCUCUUCUGUGAGUUCCUGACCCUCUGCAACAUCGUCCUGGACUGCGCCACCUGCGGCUCCUGCAGCUCCGAGGACUCCUGUCUCUGCUGCUGCUGCUGUGGGUCCGGCGAGUGUGCGGACUGCGACCUGCCCUGCGACCUGGACUGCGGCAUCCUGGAUGCCUGCUGCGAGUCGGCAGACUGCUUGGAGAUAUGCAUGGAGUGUUGCGGACUCUGCUUCUCCUCCUGAUGCCACAGGGUGGUCCCAGAGCUGCCGCACGGAGCCUGAUGGCUCCCCUGACCCCGGGCGGGCCCCCUUAGAAUCCCAAGCCAGAUGUGAGAAGGCGGGACGCUGAGAGGGGCCCGCCUCAGCCGCGAACAGGUCUGCCUUCAGACGCAUAACCUGGCCCCCUCGGUGCGUGACCAGGAACACGGCGUAUAGAGCCUGGUGGGGCAGAGCCAGUUAGAGCUGCCAAGACUCCAGAACACUGUGAACGGUAGGGGAGGGUGGGGCAGGAAUGGGAGGCCCAUGUCCUUCUCUACCUCUGCUCCAGGUGCCUGCCUCCCUCAGCCUCCCCCAGCUUUGAGGACAGAAAAUGUGAAAAGGCACCUGUCCCACCCAUUGUCGGCCCCCGCUCUUCCCCCCCUCCCCCAGCUCAUUCACUGGGUCUUGUCCGGGCCUAACCCAUAUGGUGACCAAGAGGACGGGGGUUUGGGACGGGUGUGGGUGGGUGGGGACAAUAUGGAAAAGACUGGAAGGAGGUAGAGGGAGGGUCUGUUCUUUUCAUUGCUGUAAAUAAAGAUAUCCGUUCAAUCUCCA
This 1539-nucleotide long non-coding RNA is filed under the name Rattus norvegicus (Norway rat). RNAcentral describes it as "long non-coding RNA NONRATT029159". Lineage: Eukaryota; Metazoa; Chordata; Mammalia; Rodentia; Muridae. The record is from RNAcentral.